RNAcentral lists this ribosomal RNA (253 nucleotides) under uncultured bacterium. Its description in RNAcentral is "partial 16S ribosomal RNA". It matches the Rfam family "Bacterial small subunit ribosomal RNA", at positions 524 to 776 of the family's 1533-position model. The record is from RNAcentral.
GACGAACCGUCCAAACGUUGUUCGGAAUUACUGGGCGUAAAGCGAGUGUAGGCGGUCUGCUAAGUCGGGUGUGAAAGCCCCGGGCUCAACCCGGGAAGUGCACUCGAAACUGGCAGGCUAGAGUACUGGAGAGGUUGGUGGAAUUCUCGGUGUAGAGGUGAAAUUCGUAGAUAUCGAGAGGAACACCGGUGGCGAAGGCGGCCAACUGGACAGAUACUGACGCUGAGACUCGAAAGCGUGGGGAGCAAACAGG